UACCGUCUCGUCAGUUGGUUAAAUUCAAAAACUCAGCCUCUCUUAAUAAUGACUUAGAAUGCAUUUAUGUUUCAGUAUUUUCAUGAUUAUUGAAUAAUUAGGAUUUUAUGAAUGUAAUAAAGAAUUUGUGAUUCUUGCAAACUGAAAUAGUUUUCUACCCCUCGUGGUAGCGAGUUUUAAAAGGAAAAAUGUUUUCGUAUGGGAAAUAGUUUUUAAAAGAAUUUUCUAGUUCUCCUGACUAUUAGAAUUUCAAAACAAGUUUUCGGGUAUGAAACGUUUUAAACUGAUAGAUGUGGAUUUAUGAACAAUUGUGAUACAUUAAAUGUGAAUGUGAAUGGUGUAUGAAUAUGUGGAUGUUCAUAUGUGGUGGUUGUAUUCUGUAUUGUGAAUGUUGUAUCUUGUACUUGUGCGACGUUGUGCAAAUACAGGAGAGACUUUAUCCGUGUGAAUAGUGGACUCCCUGUAUUUGUGGCGGAUCUGGCAUACCCUAGGGGUCAGAUUUUUCAAAAAAUAAAAAAAAAAUU
RNAcentral lists this long non-coding RNA (524 nucleotides) under Ananas comosus (pineapple). RNAcentral describes it as "long non-coding RNA (ACOM_LNC007336)". Lineage: Eukaryota; Viridiplantae; Streptophyta; Magnoliopsida; Poales; Bromeliaceae. The record is from RNAcentral.